This 361-nucleotide ribosomal RNA is filed under the name uncultured Aminicenantes bacterium. RNAcentral describes it as "bacterial SSU rRNA". It matches the Rfam family "Bacterial small subunit ribosomal RNA", at positions 1023 to 1382 of the family's 1533-position model. Lineage: Bacteria; Candidatus Aminicenantota. The record is from RNAcentral.
UACAUCGGUGACAGGGUGGUGCAUGGUUUGUCGUCAGCUCGUGUCGUGAGAUGUUGGGUUAAGUCCCGCAACGAGCGCAACCCCUGCCUUUAGUUGCCAGCGAGUCAUGUCGGGCACUCUAAGGGGACCGCCUCGGAUAACGGGGAGGAAGGUGGGGAUGACGUCAAGUCAGCAUGGCCUUUAUGUCCAGGGCCACACACGUGCUACAAUGGGCGGUACAAAGGGACGCAAGAUCGUAAGGUGGAGCUAAUCCUCAAAACCGUCCUCAGUUCGGAUCGAAGGCUGCAAUUCGCCUUCGUGAAGUCGGAAUCGCUAGUAAUCGCGGAUCAGCUACGCCGCGGUGAAUACGUUCUCGGGCCUU